GGCUGGACUUGGGCGCAGAAGCAGCUGAGCUGGGAGGCGGGAGGUGCGAAGCGAAGUCAGUUGUCUGCAGAUCUUCUUGCAGCGGGUUCAUUGAGCCCUUGGACUUAAGGCAGGGUUGUGUGUACGUGCGUGUUAUAAUUUCUUCUUUGUGUUUUGAGUGAGCUGGUACAUGUUGUACAUUGGUGUUUGGUGAUCUCACGGCUGGAGAUUGAGCGCGCUCUGCACCAUGGGAGAGGUGGAACCGGACAAGGAGAGGAGAGGAGAGGGCAGCGUUCUUCCGCCCAAAGGCCCCCCGUGGUGGCGCUCCACCCGCUUCAUGCUCGCCCUACUAGCCUCCUUCGGGUACGGCAACUUCUUCCUCCAGAGGAUCAACCUGAGCAUGGGUGUCGUCUGCAUGGUCAACCACACAGCCGUGGACCUGCUUACGUCACACCACCAGGGGACGCUGCAGAUGGCAACAGGAGGAGGAGCAGGAGACGAGUUGACCAUGAUGAAUUAUAAUUAUUCAGAGGAGUACAGCGCCAAUGACGUCACGACGUGGGGAUUGGUGGACACGGGGAACAACUCUUUCACAGACGGAACAUGCUCACCUCUCCACGCGAAAGAGCUGCAAAAGGAGGACGGACAGCUGGUCUGGAGCAAGAGCACACAAGGCAUCAUCCUGGGUGGGCUGUACUGGGGCUACCUGCUGCUCCAGCUGCCCUCACAGAGGAUCAUCCAACACCUUGGCUGCAAGCGGCUGUCUCUAGGCUGUGUCCUGCUCAUGUCGCUGCUCACCAUGGCUCUGCCUGCGGCCGCCCGGCUCAGCCCCUGGCUUAUGAUGUCCAUCAGGGUUGCGCAAGGCCUAUUGUCAGCUCUGGGAGUCCCCGCCAUCUACUGUAUGUGGGGUGCAUGGGCACCGCCCCAGGAGAGGACAACUCUGAUCAGCAUUUGCUUCUCCGGGAGUAUGAUCGCCAGCGCUAUCGUGUAUCCCAGCUCUGGCCUGCUGUGUCGUUUUGGGUUUGCUGGUGGCUGGCCAUCUGUCUUCUAUGUGUUCGGCAUUGUGGGUCUGGUCUGGUGUGUUCUCUGGAUGUUUCUCAUGUACGAAACUCCAGACACACAUCCUAGGAUAGAUCCCAGGGAAAGAGAGUUUAUCAAGCAAAGUAUUGGAGGGACGAACAAGGAAAAUAGGGGUGCUAUUCCAUGGCUGAAAAUCUUCAGUUCCAUCCCUGUGUGGGCUGUGGUUGUGGCUCAGCUGGGCUACAAUUGGGCAUUCUUCAUGCUGCUUGCCAUGUUACCUCAAUACAUGAAGGAAGUCCUGCAGUUGGAUAUCCAAUCGAAUGGGUUUUACUCUAUGCUGCCAUACGUUGCCCUGUCUCUGUGCACCAACAUCUGGGGAAGCCUCUGUGAUUGUCUGCUCAGAAGAAAAGUCGUAUCUCUGACGGGAGUCCGCAAGCUGUCCACUGCUGUCGGGCUUUUUAAUCAACCCGUAUGACAUAGCGCCGCGAUACGCCACUGCCGUACUUUGUCUGUCUAACACCAUAGCUGUGGGCUCAGGAAUUGUCUCUCCUUACGUGGUUGCAGCCAUGACUGUCAACAAAACCAGGGAGGAAUGGCAAGGAGUGUUCUUCCUCACCUCAGGAAUCGGUUUGGCCUGUUUGGUAUUCUAUCUCAUCUUCGGAAGCGGGGUCGAGAUGGAAUGGGCGAAGGCACCCAAAGACCGUCCUAAUCUUGAUGCAAAGCCUACAAAUACAAAGGCUGUGCCAUCCUCUGACUUUGAGUAUACUGUUAAAGACCCUCUUGAUAUAAAUCUGUUGAAUAAGAAAAAUAAGCAAGUCAAAGACACUUCUGGAGAGGGUGAAGCUGAAGAGUUUUUGAGUAAAAGUGCUUCCAUUGAAAAAAUUGUUUAACUGAUCUUGGCUCUGACCUUAUCUUCAUAUGUAUCAUGGCAUGCUGGAGCCAGGCGCCCAUUAAUUUUUGGACAUAUAGAGUUGUUUGUAUAAUCUUAAAGCUUGUUCUUUUGUCUUGCUUUUGAUGAAAUAAAUACUUGUCUAUCAUUCUCUCCAUUCGCAGGAAAUAGAAACCAAUGUUAAGAUCAUCAGUAUUUCAAUUAUGAUAGCAUAUUUUAUGGUCCAUUCACUUAUCUUGUGUGAACAACAAAGUGAGUUGGUUUCCAUUAUAUUUCCAUUUACAACUUAUUAAAACCAUGGCUGACUGGAUAUAUUUUUUCAUGAAAAC
Molecule: unclassified non-coding RNA, 2217 nt
Filed under: Aplysia californica (California sea hare)
Lineage: Eukaryota; Metazoa; Mollusca; Gastropoda; Aplysiida; Aplysiidae
Description: uncharacterized transporter slc-17.2, transcript variant X1
Source: RNAcentral